ACGACCAUAUACUAUUUCUAUAUUUGUAUCCGACGAUACUUAUAACCGACAUUGUAACACCUUUAAUCGACAAAAUCGAAUAAAUUAUAACAUAUUUACAUCAAUAUAACUCAAUCGGACGAAAUAAAUAUAUUUGGCAAUAUCAAUUGUCUAUUCCGAAUAACUUUAAUCCUCUCCCGUGCCAGUACUGCUGCGCAUAGCAGGUUAGCCGAAAAGUGGAAUUCAUUUGCCAGUUGCAUUAAACGUUAGUUAACGCUACCCAUUAUACGUAAAUUACCGGAUAAAACUCUUACGAAGUUCAGGAAAUACGCGACAGACGAAGGUACAAAGAUUUGUUUUCCUACAGCCAAGAACGUGCUUACAGAGGCACUUCCAGACUGGGAAUUCAAUCUAGUAGUUACCAAAAGACACGACAGACGAACAAUACCCAUCACACACUAACACUCCUAGCUUAAAGAAAAUAAUAAUAA
Long non-coding RNA from Bombus impatiens (common eastern bumble bee), 470 nucleotides. RefSeq lists it as uncharacterized. NCBI's taxonomy places the organism in Eukaryota, Metazoa, Arthropoda, Insecta, Hymenoptera, Apidae. The transcript has 2 exons. The record is from RefSeq and is a predicted model, not a curated record.